UGGGGAAUAUUGCACAAUGGGCGCAAGCCUGAUGCAGCCAUGCCGCGUGUGUGAAGAAGGCCUUCGGGUUGUAAAGCACUUUCAGCGAGGAGGAAGGUGGUGAACUUAAUACGUUCAUCAAUUGACGUUACUCGCAGAAGAAGCACCGGCUAACUCCGUGCCAGCAGCCGCGGUAAUACGGAGGGUGCAAGCGUUAAUCGGAAUUACUGGGCGUAAAGCGCACGCAGGCGGUUUGUUAAGUCAGAUGUGAAAUCCCCGGGCUCAACCUGGGAACUGCAUUUGAAACUGGCAAGCUAGAGUCUCGUAGAGGGGGGUAGAAUUCCAGGUGUAGCGGUGAAAUGCGUAGAGAUCUGGAGGAAUACCGGUGGCGAAGGCGGCCCCCCUGGACGAAGACUGACGCUCAGGUGCGAAAGCGUGGGGCAGCAAACAGGAUUAGAUACCCUGGUAGGUCCGCGCUGUAAAACGAUGUCGAUUUGGAGGUUGUGCCCCUUGAGGCGUGGCUUCCGGAGCUAACGCGUUAAAUCGACCGCCUGGGGAGUACGGCCNCAAGGUU
RNAcentral lists this ribosomal RNA (553 nucleotides) under uncultured bacterium. RNAcentral's name for it is "partial 16S ribosomal RNA". It matches the Rfam family "Bacterial small subunit ribosomal RNA", at positions 355 to 895 of the family's 1533-position model. The record is from RNAcentral.